Molecule: ribosomal RNA, 492 nt
Filed under: uncultured bacterium
Lineage: Bacteria
Description: partial 16S ribosomal RNA
Rfam family: Bacterial small subunit ribosomal RNA
Source: RNAcentral
AGUGAACGCUGGCGGUAGGCCUAACACAUGCAAGUCGAACGGCAGCACAGUAAGAGCUUGCUCUUACGGGGGGCGAGUAGCGGACGGGUGAGGAAUACAUCGGAAUCUACUUUUUCGUGGGGGAUAACGUAGGGAAACUUACGCUAAUACCGCAUACGACCUACGGUUGAAAGCAGGGGAUCUUCGGACCUUGCGUGAUUGUAUGAGCCGAUGUCGGAUUAGCUAGUUGGCUGGGUAAAGGCCCACCAAUGCGACGAUCCGUAGCUGGGCUGAGAGGAUGGUCAGCCACACUGCAACUGUGACACGGUACAGACUAGUCUGGGAGGCAGCAGAGGAGAGUAUUAGACUAGGGGCGGAAGGCUAGUCCAGUCCUGCCGCGCGGGGUAAAGAGGCCCGCGGGUUGUGAAGGCCAUCUGUUGGGGAAGAAAAGCAGCAAGUUAAUACCCCGCUUUUAUGACGGUACCCAAAGAAUAAGCACCGGCUAACUUCGUG